RNAcentral lists this ribosomal RNA (420 nucleotides) under bacterium. RNAcentral describes it as "partial 16S ribosomal RNA". It matches the Rfam family "Bacterial small subunit ribosomal RNA", at positions 355 to 776 of the family's 1533-position model. The record is from RNAcentral.
UGGGGGAUAUUGCACAAUGGGCGAAAGCCUGAUGCAGCGACGCCGCGUGGGGGAUGAAGGCUUUCGGGUUGUAAACCUCUUUCGCUAUCGAACAAGGCCCGCUUAGGGUGGGUUGAGGGUAGGUGGAGAAGAAGCGCCGGCUAACUACGUGCCAGCAGCCGCGGUAAUACGUAGGGCGCGUGCGUUGUCCGGAAUUAUUGGGCGUAAAGGGCUUGUAGGCGGCUUGUUGCGCCUGCUGUGAAAACGCGGGGCUUAACUUCGCGCGUGCAGUGGGUACGGGCAGGCUUGAGUGUGGUAGGGGUGACUGGAAUUCCAGGUGUAGCGGUGGAAUGCGCAGAUAUCUGGAGGAACACCGAUGGCGAAGGCAGGUCACUGGGCCAUUACUGACGCUGAGGAGCGAAAGCAUGGGUAGCGAACAGG